This 253-nucleotide ribosomal RNA is filed under the name uncultured bacterium. RNAcentral's name for it is "partial 16S ribosomal RNA". It matches the Rfam family "Archaeal small subunit ribosomal RNA", at positions 474 to 727 of the family's 1478-position model. The record is from RNAcentral.
UACCAGCACCCCGAGUGGUCGGGACGUUUAUUGGGCCUAAAGCAUCCGUAGCCGGUUCUACAAGUCUUCCGUUAAAUCCACCUGCUUAACAGAUGGGCUGCGGAAGAUACUAUAGAGCUAGGGGGCGGGAGAGGCAAGCGGUACUCGAUGGGUAGGGGUAAAAUCCGUUGAUCCAUUGAAGACCACCAGUGGCGAAGGCGGCUUGCCAGAACGCGCUCGACGGUGAGGGAUGAAAGCUGGGGGAGCAAACCGG